CAAAACUAGUUUGUCGGGUUAAAAACCCGCCCCCUGGGUAUUUGCUGGCCGGGUGGCGUCCCUCCCAGUGAGGUCCGAUGCCGCGUCCCGGCCUUUUUCUGGGGAGGGCGCUGUGCCUCUCUGUACAGUAUCUGAUCCAUACCGAUUACUCUGAGAAAACGAGAGUGUUCCACGAGGGCGUCAGCCAGAAUAUAUUAGAAUGGAAUAAUAGCAUAGGACUUCAUUCCUGAGUUUUUUGGUUUAACGGAAUGGAGGAACGCAUAUAGGGAUAGUUGGGGGCGUUCGUAUUUUUCGUCACAGGCGAAAUUCUCGUAUUUUUUCAGACGAACUACUGCGAAAGCAUCUGCUAGGAUGUUUUCUUUUUCAAGAAAGCAAGUUAUGGAAUCGAAGACUAUCACAAACCCUCCUAGUCUUCCCAUAUUCUAUGUCUACUACAGAUUGCGACUGCCAUCCCUGACGCUUCCGCAACUUCCUCCAAAUCAAACCCAUUGGUUCAUCGGGGAGUCGGUGACCGCUGACACUGACAUGAAUGAUGGACCGGGCCCCCAGCUUGAUUCCUGCCUCUUACUUGUUUAUUACCGGGAGCUACCUAGUUGGACAGCCGAGGAUAAAUGACCAUUAAUUUCUUGCUAAUCGCGGCUCGCCUCCACGACCUACCUCGUCACUGAUUAGUUGGCAACUCUUCCACUACAAACCCAUCUCCCCGAGAGCUACUGAUCAACCACAAUAUUUGUUUUUUACACGAUCUCGGUGACCCGGUCCAACCCAGGACAACUAUCCCGGUGUCG
RNAcentral lists this ribosomal RNA (788 nucleotides) under uncultured eukaryote. RNAcentral's name for it is "partial 18S ribosomal RNA". The stretch from base 1 to 495 matches the Rfam family "Eukaryotic small subunit ribosomal RNA", at positions 682 to 1113 of the family's 1831-position model. The record is from RNAcentral.